ACCAUUACCGUCCUCAGCAUGGCCUCCAACUACACAGAAAAAUACUUCAUCGAUUAUCGGUGGCGUCUUGGGCUCCAUUCUUUCCGGAGUCAUCCUCUCCCUGGGUGUUUGGAUGUGGAAAUCAGGCAGGAUGGAAGCACCGUGUUGCCCAAGUACAACGUCUCAGGGACCUAGUGUGGAAACCAUGGGGGACGUUGGAGGUGAAGAACUGAAUAUGGUGUCUGGUGGUUCCCCAGCUGAGCUAGGCGAUGUGUCUGGAGCAGACCCUGAAGGCACAAGGAUGUGUGGAGAGCCCCUGCUCCCCAAGACCUCAUGCCCCCCUUGAACUGAUACCCUGAGCAGGUCUGGCUGGUUAAUGAAAUAAAGAAGGUUGGCUUUA
Long non-coding RNA from Phyllostomus discolor (pale spear-nosed bat), 379 nucleotides. RefSeq lists it as uncharacterized. The transcript is spliced from 2 exons. The record is from RefSeq and is a predicted model, not a curated record. Lineage: Eukaryota; Metazoa; Chordata; Mammalia; Chiroptera; Phyllostomidae.